UUUGAUUGGGUAAAGGCUUUUUAAGUCGGUUAGGGAGUGGCCUGUGUCCUAUCAGCUUGUUGGUGAGGUAAUGGCUCACCAAGGCUACGACGGGUAACUGGUCUGAGAGGAUGAUCAGUCACACUGGAAUUGAGAAACGGUCCAGACUCCUACGGGAGGCAGCAGUUAGGAAUCUUCCGCAAUGGGCGAAAGCCUGACGGAGCAAUACCGCGUGGGGGAAGAAAGUCGAAAGAUUGUAAACUCCUUUUCUAUUUUACUAAGUUCUGAAGGAAAUAGGAAUAAGUCACGGCUAAUUACGUGCCAGCAGCCGCGGUAAUACGUAAGUGGCAAGCAUUACUCGGAAUUACUGGGUGUAAAGCGUCUGUAGGUUUUAAUGAAAGUUAAAUAUUAAAUCUUGAAGCUCAACUUUAAGGCUGUAUUUAAAACUACAUUAAUUGAGAAUGUUAGAGGCAAGUGGAAUUCUGCAAGUAGGGAUUAAAUCCGUAGAUAUGCAGAGGAACACCAAAAGCGAAAGCAACUUGCUGGGGCAUUUCUGACACUGAGAGACGAAAGCGUGGGGAGCGAAAAGGAUUAGAUACCCUUGUAGUCCACGCCCUAAACGAUGGAUACUCGAUAUUGCUAUUUGAUUAGUUCGAUGGCAGUGUCCUAGCUAACGCGUUAAGUAUCCCACCUGGGGACUACGGUCGCAAGAUUAAAACUCAAAGGAAUUGGCGGGGGCUCACACAAGCGGUGGAGUAUGGCGUUUAAUUCGAUAAUAAGCGAAGAAUCUCACCUAGGCUUGACAUCCUUGGAAUUCUCUGGAAACAGAGAAGUGCUUUUUAAGAACCAAGUGACAGGCGCUGCAUGGUUGUCGUCAGCUCGUGUCGUGAGAUGUAUGGUUAGGUCCUAGAACGAGCGCAACCCUCAUUUUAUGUUGUAUAUUUCAUAAAAGACUGCCUUGGUUAACAGGGAGGAAGGAGAGGAUGACGCCAAAUCAGCAUGGCCCUUAUGCCUAGGGCUACAGUUGUACUACAAUGGUUGGCACAAUGAGGAGCAAAAUCGCGAGAUGGAGCAAAUCUUUAAAACCAAUCUCAGUCCGGAUUGAAGGCUGGAAUUCGCCUUCAUGAAGUUGGAAUCGCUAGUAAAUGCGGAUCGGCAAUGUCGCAUUGAAUUUGUUCCUGAGCCUUGCACACACCGCCCGUCACACCAUGGAAGUUAGUAGUAUUUUAAGUAUUAUUAUAUAGUACCACGGUAAGACUAAUGACUGGGGUGAAGUCGUAACAAGGUA
Molecule: ribosomal RNA, 1267 nt
Filed under: metagenome
Description: bacterial SSU rRNA
Rfam family: Bacterial small subunit ribosomal RNA
Source: RNAcentral